GACGUAGGAUGCAAGCGUUGUCCGGAAUUAUUGGGCGUAAAGAGUUCGUAGGUGGUUACUUAAGUCUGGUGUUAAAGCCCGAAGCUCAACUUCGGCAUGGCAUUGGAAACUGGGUGGCUAGAGUAUGGUAGAGGUCUCGGGAAUUCCAGGUGUAGCGGUGAAAUGCGUAGAUAUCUGGAGGAACACCGGUGGCGAAAGCGCGAGACUGGGCCGUAACUGACGCUGAGGAACGAAAGCCAGGGGAGCAAAAGGG
Molecule: ribosomal RNA, 253 nt
Filed under: uncultured bacterium
Lineage: Bacteria
Description: partial 16S ribosomal RNA
Rfam family: Bacterial small subunit ribosomal RNA
Source: RNAcentral